RNAcentral lists this ribosomal RNA (253 nucleotides) under uncultured bacterium. Its description in RNAcentral is "partial 16S ribosomal RNA". It matches the Rfam family "Bacterial small subunit ribosomal RNA", at positions 524 to 776 of the family's 1533-position model. The record is from RNAcentral.
UACGUAGGGUGCGAGCGUUGUCCGGAAUUAUUGGGCGUAAAGGGCUCGUAGGCGGUUUGUCGCGUCGGGAGUGAAAACCUUGGGCUUAACUCAGGGCUUGCUUUCGAUACGGGCAGACUAGAGGUAUGCAGGGGAGAACGGAAUUCCUGGUGUAGCGGUGAAAUGCGCAGAUAUCUGGAGGAACACCGGUGGCGAAGGCGGAUCUCUGGGCCUUACCUGACGCUGAGGCGCGAAAGCUAGGGGAGCGAACAGG